Molecule: transfer-messenger RNA, 96 nt
Filed under: Pseudomonadota bacterium
Lineage: Bacteria; Pseudomonadati; Pseudomonadota
Description: Proteobacteria bacterium (activated sludge metagenome) partial transfer-messenger RNA
Rfam family: transfer-messenger RNA
About the family: Bacterial tmRNA, also known as 10Sa RNA or SsrA, is named for its dual tRNA and mRNA-like properties.
Source: RNAcentral
GGGGAUGCACUGGAUUCGACGGGGGUUGCGAAAUCGCUUGGCGCAUGCCGAGGGGGUAGCUUUCCUCGUUAAUCCAGCUGCAAAAACUCAGACGCC